Mytilus californianus (California mussel) is the source of this 2083-nucleotide long non-coding RNA. RefSeq lists it as uncharacterized. Lineage: Eukaryota; Metazoa; Mollusca; Bivalvia; Mytilida; Mytilidae. The transcript is spliced from 5 exons. The record is from RefSeq and is a predicted model, not a curated record.
UUAUUGCAAUAAACCGAUAUAUCGCGUGUAUGUUUGUUUAUUUGUACUGUUAGAUCAUAGAUCAUUAUGGGCUAAUCAAGCAUUUUUUGUAGUCCAACAAAUGAUAAUUACCUGACGUUUACCGUUAUUUGAGUGAUUGUUGUUGACAUAUUUCUGCACCUGUGGUAUAUAGUCCUGUAUUGCCAAUAAUGAUAUCAUAAUACGAUAUUAACGGAAAGAAAAUGGACCUUUCAAUAUUCCUUGUAUCUGUUGUAUCGUGCAUCCUAACGAGUAAAUGGGUUGAUGCUGUUAUUUUUCCAUUUAAUCCCUACGCACUUCAAAGACCAAGUUUACGCAGCCCUGUAAAAAAAAACGACAGAGGAAACACACCUGUAAAUACUGUCCAGGAAAAAGUUGUUUGUCCGUCAUAUAAAAUCUAUUACGAAGGUGAUAAACUGAUACUGGUACUGCAGGCCGGAAAAUGUGAGCUUAUUGUAGAAAAAUAUGCAAUUGAAGAUUCAAUCACCAUGACAGGGAAGACACCAGAAAAAAAGAAGACCUACGUACCAAUUCUACAUUUCAAAAAUAUACUACCAAUCUGUCGACAACUGCCGUAUGAAUACAAAGGAUUUCUCGUUACUGUAAAAACCACCAAAAACUGUCAGUUCACCUUCGCAGUGAAACAAUUCAGAGAGAUGAAUCCAUUUUCUCCCCAACCGAAACUGAUUUCACGACCAGUUGUUGUAAAUUCAUAGCCCAUGGCAGCUUGACAGUCAGUAAAGGAAGAGAAAACAGAUCGUGAAAAUCCAUCUUGUGUUUUAUUUUUUUUUUAUUUAACAAGUCGGUCAUUUAAGAUACUAUAACCAGACUGAAAAAUAUUAAAAUGAAUAGUUUCCAGACAUGUAUAUGUUAAUGGUCAAAUUCUGUAUAUUUUAUGCAGAAGAUAUCUAAAUUUCAAUAAAAUUCUUUACAAAAAAAAACAGUUAUAUUUUUUGCCUUUCAAAAAAGAAUUUCGUACUUUCCACGACUUGAACUUCACACAACAUUGAAUAUACUAAACCCAAUUCAAGAAUGGGGCUGUAUUGAGGCCACUAGUCCGUUCGUCCGUUUUUUCAUCCAUUCGUACGUCCAUUCGUCCAUUCGUCCAACAAAUAUUUUUGUUUUAUUUUUUUCAGAAACUUCUUAACUUAAGACCAUCCCCAAUUUUUGGUGGGGUUUGUUUUUCUCAGUCUAUAGUUUAUUAUGUUGUGUUUUGUUGAUUGUAGCACGUCUUUGAUAGAUUUUCGUUUUCGCCUCGGUGGUUGUGUGGUCUCGAGUGCGGGAGGUCUUCGGUUCGAACCCCGACCGUGUCAAACCGAAGACUUUAAAAUUAGUCAUUGCUGUUUCUUCACCAAGCAUAUGGCAUUAAGGAGUAAGAACAAAGACUGGUCGGCUUGGAAUCAGAAUCAUAAGUCCGGGUAGGCUAACAUAUGCAUGUCUUCCUGCAGACUAUUACCUCUUGAACUCCGAUUCAGCGUAUCGAUCUAUUACAAAGCAGGGUUCAUAUUCAUACCACAUUAACAUCUUCUCGUCCUGAAUAUGCAUUUGAUUUGCCGCUGGACGUUUAUUAUCCAUCUAUCCUCAUUAUCCUCAUCGUUUUCUGCCAUGGCGUUGUCAGUUUGUCUUUGACUUAUGAGUUUGAAUAUCCCUUUGGUAUGACUACAUAUUUGGUCGACCAAGCAGUAAGGAUUUGUAACAUCUAUGCGCUUUUCGGAUCUCUCUGAAACCUACUUCCUGUUUUCCAAUAAUAGUACGUUGAAAUACGAUUGGGGAACGCUUAUCACGACAACGCAGUUUGCUUUGUUGUUAUUCGAGAAAUUUCAAUUCUUUCCUGUUCUAUUUUGCACAAUCGGUAUACAUCUACGUCAUUCAGUCCGUGGUGGAUAGUUGUCUCAUUGGCAAUUAUAAUACAUCUUAUUAUUUUCAUACUUUUUUAUGAUCUUUCCUUUAUAGUUGUCUCUUGUGCAUCUUCCUUUAUAUCACAUCGUUUUUCAUUUAUACAAAGUUUUACAAGUGUGAUAACUCAUUGUUGGACGUUAACCAAACAAGCAAUCAGUCAUUGCUU